RNAcentral lists this RNase P RNA (323 nucleotides) under Sulfuricurvum sp. RNAcentral describes it as "RNase P RNA component class A". It matches the Rfam family "Bacterial RNase P class A". Rfam says of the family: Ribonuclease P (RNase P) is a ubiquitous endoribonuclease, found in archaea, bacteria and eukarya as well as chloroplasts and mitochondria. Its best characterised activity is the generation of mature 5'-ends of tRNAs by cleaving the 5'-leader elements of precursor-tRNAs. The record is from RNAcentral. Lineage: Bacteria; Pseudomonadati; Campylobacterota; Epsilonproteobacteria; Campylobacterales; Sulfurimonadaceae.
UGCGUACAACGUGCGAUAGCUUGCUUUUCAAGAGGAAAGUCCGGGCUGCCGUAAGACAGGGCUCCAUCUAACGGAUGGCCGGCGAAAGCCGAGGGACAGUGCAACAGAGAGUAGACGGCCGCGUAUGCGGUCACGGUGAAACGGUGGGGUAAGAGCCUACCAGUUCCGUCAGCAAUGACGGAAGCUAUGUAAACCCAGCCCGGCAGCAAGAAACAGAUGGUAAGCGUCUUACAUCGCUUUUGUUUCGCUAGAGGCGGCCGGUGACGGCUGCAGUAGAUAAAUUAUCGCUUUAACAGAACCCGGCUUACCGUUGUACGCUUAUU